This 345-nucleotide ribosomal RNA is filed under the name Paromalostomum cf. minutum TJ-2015. RNAcentral describes it as "partial 16S ribosomal RNA". The record is from RNAcentral. Lineage: Eukaryota; Metazoa; Platyhelminthes; Dolichomicrostomida; Dolichomacrostomidae.
GGCCAUUUUUUUGCUAAGGUAGCAUAAUUACUUGCUUUUUAAAUAAAAGAUUGUUUGAAAGGGACUUCCGUGAAAAUUCNUUUUAUUUUUGAUCUUAAAUUUUUUAUUUGUAAAAAAUCAAUUUUUUAAUAAAAGACGAGAAGACCCCAAAAAUUUUAAUUAGGAAAUUUUUAGUGGGGCACUUCCUUUUUUUUUAAAAGGUUAAAAAAAGAAAAUAAAAAAAUUACUUUGGGGAUAACAGGGAAAUUUAAAAUAAAGACCAUAUUAAAUUUUAAGAUUUCUACCUCGAUGUUGAAUUAGAUGUAAUCUUUAGGGCAAAAAACAAAGUUAUUCGGCCUGUUCGGC